RNAcentral lists this long non-coding RNA (1112 nucleotides) under Cricetulus griseus (Chinese hamster). RNAcentral describes it as "lncRNA (ENSCGRG00015037584.1)". The record is from RNAcentral. Lineage: Eukaryota; Metazoa; Chordata; Mammalia; Rodentia; Cricetidae.
CUUCCCCCAUCACAUAGGUUACAUAAUGCUUUAUUAACACUAAACUUUCUUAAUGCUAAUAAGAAAGGACAAACAGCUGCAGAAAGACACUGGACUACAGAAAAAAAUGCUGAACUGAAUCAGCCGGUAUACUUUAAAGAUGUAUUGACCUCUGUAUGGAAACCAAGACAUGUGUUAUGUUGGGGAAGGGGUUUUGCCUUUGUUUCCACAGGAGAAGAAAAACUUUGGAUACCAUCAAAGUUGAUCAAGAUUCGAGUAGAAAAAGCAAAACCUCUUGAUGAGGAGAAAUGAUCCACCAAGGUAUAUCUCAUAAACUGUAUGGCAGCCUCACAAAGGAAAGAAAGAAAACGGGCCACACUUCAUUGAGUCGAUUGGAUCCAACUUGAUUCGUUUGAACUGACACUCUGGCUAGAGCUUCGGCUACUGAUUCCAAUCAACACAAGAACUUCAAUCAAUAUAAGGACUCCAACCUAGACCUUCAAUAAAGCAUCUCCCAUCAAACACAGACUUCAUAUAAUCCACUCAUGACUUUCACUACAUUAACAUUUUCUUCCUACAGGACCCCAUGAGGCUAUAGUCGUCCCAUUUCAGCAAGAAGUAACUUGGAGAAUACUACACUCCCUUUCCCCACUGUUGUCACUAAGGAUAAUGUACACCUAGUUAAGGCUAGUUUCCUAUUGUUUAGGGUUGGGUUUGGAAGAGGUGUUCAGGCUUGGACAUCUCUUUCAGAUGACUUUAGGGUUUAGUUGGAAUAGACAUAGUUAGGAUGUGAUAUUAGUGGAUUAUUAACCUUCUUGUAAUUCACCUUUACGAUUGUUAAUUAUAGAUAAUUUACACUGUUAAGUUUUAAUCCUCUUUAGACUAAAAGUGGAAUUUUAGGAGUAUCCUGUUUAGAGGUAAUGCUAUGGAGCUGGCCACAUGUAAGGAUACCCACACCCGAUUGGGACUGGACACAUGUGUUGCUGACCAUGCCCACUUGGGCUUGGUCAGAGUGACAUGGAAAAGGUUUAAGUAGUUAGGGUGCUCACGCGGGCCCUUUCUCUCCCUCCCUGAAGCCUGGCUAAGUGGACUUGGAUGAGUACUAUUUCUUAAUAAACUACCUGUUAUCAACC